UGGGGAAUAUUGCACAAUGGGCGAAAGCCUGAUGCAGCGACGCCGCGUGAGCGAAGAAGUAUUUCGGUGUGUAAAGCUCUAUCAGCAGGGAAGAAAAUGACGGUACCUGACUAAGAAGCUCCGGCUAAAUACGUGCCAGCAGCCGCGGUAAUACGUAUGGAGCAAGCGUUAUCCGGAUUUACUGGGUGUAAAGGGAGCGUAGACGGAGAGGCAAGUCUGAUGUGAAAGGCGGGGGCUCAACCCCUGGACUGCAUUGGAAACUGUUUUUUCUUGAGUGCCGGAGAGGUAAGCGGAAUUCCUAGUGUAGCGGUGAAAUGCGUAGAUAUUAGGAGGAACACCAGUGGCGAAGGCGGCUUACUGGACGGUAACUGACGUUGAGGCUCGAAAGCGUGGGGAGCAAACAGGAUUAGAUACCC
This 416-nucleotide ribosomal RNA is filed under the name uncultured bacterium. RNAcentral describes it as "bacterial SSU rRNA". It matches the Rfam family "Bacterial small subunit ribosomal RNA", at positions 355 to 787 of the family's 1533-position model. The record is from RNAcentral.